UUCAAUACUAGUUGGUACUUGGGAGUUGGUCAACCAGAUAUUAAGAUCAUAAUCCCUUUUUCCAUAUUUGAUAUUGUCGGUUUGGCAUCGUGACAUGCAGACAGGUGUGGUCAUUGAAACAGCUGGAUUAUUUUCUUUAGCUUGAAAUCCACGAGUGUUUGUUGCUUUGCAAUUAGUGCAUGGUAACUUCCAAUUGAAUGAGCUGUUGAAGUACAUAGACAGAUAAAGAGUGGGGAAAGGGAUGCGAAGAUAGGUGUCGUUCAAUUUGGAUACUACUGGAUUCUAAUUUAUAUGAUGCGUGGAGUGCAUGCGAACCAAUAAUACUAAACAGGUAGAAACCCUAUCAAAAGUAUUUCAAAACCAAUACUGCACUAGUGCUCCACAAGACUAGUUGUUUCUGUAGUGUGGCAACAGUGUAGUGGUUUUCUUCUUUGUGGAAUUUGUGGUGGCUUAAGUGGUUCUGGUCAUCACACUUUUCCAUCAAUUAUAACUAUAUAUAUAUAUGUGUGUGUGUGUGUGUUAAGAGAUCCCUUGUUUUAUUAUUAAAUUAGGGUUCCAGAAUGGGUUUAAUAUAUACAAGAAG
RNAcentral lists this long non-coding RNA (583 nucleotides) under Malus domestica (apple). RNAcentral's name for it is "long non-coding RNA (MDOM_LNC000904)". Lineage: Eukaryota; Viridiplantae; Streptophyta; Magnoliopsida; Rosales; Rosaceae. The record is from RNAcentral.